CAGCCGCCGCGGUAAUACGUAGGGCGCAAGCGUUGUCCGGAUUUAUUGGGCGUAAAGGGCUCGUAGGCGGUCUGUCACGUCGGAUGUGAAAACUCAGUGCUUAACACUGGGCCUGCAUUCGAUACGGGCAGACUAGAGUUCGGUAGGGGAGACUGGAACUCCUGGUGUAGCGGUGGAAUGCGCAGAUAUCAGGAAGAACACCGAUGGCGAAGGCAGGUCUCUGGGCCGAUACUGACGCUGAGGAGCGAAAGCGUGGGGAGCGAACAGGAUUAGAUACCCUGGUAGUCCACGCCGUAAACGGUGGGCACUAGGUGUGGGAAACUAUCUACGUUUUCCGCGCCGCAGCUAACGCAUUAAGUGCCCCGCCUGGGGAGUACGGCCGCAAGGCUAAAACUCAAAGGAAUUGACGGGGGCCCGCACAAGCGGCGGAGCAUGCGGCUUAAUUCGAUGCAACGCGAAGAACCUUACCUAGGCUUGACAUAUAGCGUUUACCGGCAGAGAUGUCGGGUCCUUCGGGGCGCUAUACAGGUGGUGCAUGGCC
This 541-nucleotide ribosomal RNA is filed under the name uncultured archaeon. Its description in RNAcentral is "bacterial SSU rRNA". It matches the Rfam family "Bacterial small subunit ribosomal RNA", at positions 509 to 1050 of the family's 1533-position model. The record is from RNAcentral.